AGCGAACGCUGGCGGCAGGCUUAACACAUGCAAGUCGAGCGGGCACUUUCGGGUGUCAGCGGCGGACGGGUGAGUAACGCGUGGGAACGUGCCCUCUGGUUCGGAAUAACUCAGGGAAACUUGAGCUAAUACCGGAUACGCCCUUUUGGGGAAAGGCUUGCUGCCGGAGGAUCGGCCCGCGUCUGAUUAGCUAGUUGGUGAGGUAACGGCUCACCAAGGCGACGAUCAGUAGCUGGUCUGAGAGGAUGAUCAGCCACACUGGGACUGAGACACGGCCCAGACUCCUACGGGAGGCAGCAGUGGGGAAUAUUGGACAAUGGGCGCAAGCCUGAUCCAGCCAUGCCGCGGGAGUGAUGAAGGUCUUAGGGUUGUAAAGCUCUUUUAUCCGGGACGAUAAUGACGGUACCGGAGGAAUAAGCCCCGGCUAACUUCGU
This 434-nucleotide ribosomal RNA is filed under the name uncultured bacterium. RNAcentral's name for it is "partial 16S ribosomal RNA". It matches the Rfam family "Bacterial small subunit ribosomal RNA", at positions 29 to 506 of the family's 1533-position model. The record is from RNAcentral.